Long non-coding RNA from Pezoporus flaviventris, 3173 nucleotides. RefSeq lists it as uncharacterized. The record is from RefSeq and is a predicted model, not a curated record. Lineage: Eukaryota; Metazoa; Chordata; Aves; Psittaciformes; Psittacidae. The transcript is spliced from 3 exons.
GACUUGUCAAUCUGAGAUCGAAAGAGUUCAGUGAAACAUAGAAAAGCAUAAUUUCAGACUUUAAAAACAGCCUAGAUUUCUGAGAGGGACCUAUCUGAAGAAAAUGUACUCUUAGAAAUGUGAAGCUCAGGACAUCACUUUCAGAAGAAAAUAAUCUCUCCAAUACCUUUCCUGACACUGCAGAUAUUCAUUGACCCAGACAACGUAUUUCUUCCUUGUACAUGGAUAAGAAGAGUCUGCAUAAAUCUUAACAUCGAUGAGGAGAGACCCUACAAAUGUGGAAAGAAAUUAUAUGACAGACUAAUAGGAAAGCAAGCUGGAAGACAGUGGAGCCCAAAAUUCCUGGCAGGAAUCGAGACAUCUCCUCAGGUCUUUGCUAUUCUACAGAUGCAUCCAUUUACUGGAAAUAACUUGACAGAAUUCUGCCCCAUCAUUUUGGGAAUUAUCACAUUAAAACCAGGAAACAAAGGGGCGAGAGUGACUCCAACAACAGGCAUGGAUUUUGGACUCUGCUGACACACCUUUUGCAGCUGCAUGAUAGGGUUCAGCACUUAAGAGAGUCUUACUGCUAGUUCUUGGAUUUUAUUUUGUCCUUGCAUUGGUUUGUUGAUUACUUGUUCAAAAAACAAUGGUGGUGGUAAUGUUCCUAUUCAUGUCACCUUUCUUUGAAAGUUUCUGAGAAUCAACAGAAGCCAGUCUAUUUUUCCGUUGUUUACUGUAUCUCAUUAAUUCCCCAGUCCUAUACUGAUAUGCUUGCCAAAGUUCUCACAGGUUUUGAAAUAGCUUCUUAAUUUACUGUGGGUUUAAGUACACAAAACUAAACAAUUUGGCAAGUACAGUACGCUAACAGAUUUUAAUAAGUUCAGAUAUAAGAGCAUGUCUAUCAAUAACACAUUUCUGCAGACCAGAGGAUGAAUUGCAUUCUUCUAUAACCAGGUUUAGUGAUACCAUUUAGAUACACUGCUUGUAAUAUAGAAGGAAGCACUUGCUCCUUUCUGGAGUCAUUUAUUUAUGCUCCAAUUUAAUUGUAAUAAUUGGUCAGGGAGCAUCAUCCUCAGCCUUUGGGGCUGCACUCCUGUCUGCAAAUGUAGAUGCAUGAAUGUGGAUAUUCUCCAGAAGAUGUGCUAGCACAAUAAGACCAGAAAAAAAAACACCUAUCAUUCUGAAGAUUAAUAUUCUCUUAAUAAUCACAAUGUAGGCUGUGCAGAAGAACCACCGGUUAGAUCAUGCUAGACUAUAUAGUAACAAUAUAAUUUUAAAGCAGUCUCUCCAUGCACAAAGUGCACGUACAUGCUAUACAUUAGUCAUAACUCAGUACACAUUACAAAAAUGUGGAUAACUUAAAUUUUGAGGUUUUCUUUGUAUCAUUUACAUGCCUUUAGAGCCACUUAACAGUUAAAACCUGGUUCCUGAAAGUUGCUAGAGGUACAGCUAUGUGAUCUAUGAAGUAUAAAAGAAAAAAUAAUGUAAAAUUAAACAUGAAAUUAAAUUGAUCUCCUUGUUGACAUGAAGCCAGCCAAAAAGGUCUAUUAUUUUUUACACAACAGUGCUUGUGUUUAACUGGAGAACAGAGUCAUGGUACUGUACCCGAACCUUUCCCUGGAAAAAACGUAUGUAGUAUCAUUAUUCCUUAAAAAAAGGUGUUAAGGCUUACAAUCGGCUUUGGAGUCACAUUGAAUAACAGUAGAAUAGCUAAAAGCAAACCAGACCCUUUGCUGGUUUCACCUGACAGGUCUCACGCUGCUUCCAGAGUCCCAGUACGGCUGUACAGUAGAGCUCUAAUAGUUCACGCAUUGGGCAGCUCUGCAGCCCAGCAGUCCUGGGUACAGUUCAGGUGAACACAGCUCUCCAGCACAGCGCCUUAAAUGAAAAGCACAUUUAUACUAAAUAUACUACUUCGGGAUGUGACUGGGUUACAAUGAUAAUACUUGAAGGUUAUGACAGGUAAUGACAAAGUAAUAACAAUACUUGAAACAGAUCGAGAGCAUUAAAAAAAAAAAAAGGAAAACCAAAAAAACCCCACCCCAGAAUAAAGGAGGAAACACUCAGUUUUUCCUUAUCAAUGGGACAUGUAGGUUUAGAGCAGUUCACUGCACUAGCUGCAUGCCCAACCACUCAAAGGUGUCCCAUUAGCGGGCUUAGACAUAUGCCUUCAGAAGAAGCAUGAAAGCAACAUAUCCUUUUCAUGUAUGAUGAAAGAACCUGGUGCUUCUGUCACACUCAGAUGUUACCCUGUGCUGGUCUUGCUUGGGAUACAGUGCAGCUUCUUCACAGUAGCUGGUAUGGUGCUGUGUUUUGGAUUUGUGCUGGAAACAGUGUUGAUAACACAGGGAUGUUUUGAUCAUUGAAAACAGAGUCAAAGCCUUUUCUUUCUGCUCCUCACACCACCCUGCCAGCGAGUAGGUCAAGGGUGUACAAGAAGCUGGGGGGCAAUACAGUCAGGACAGCUGACCCCAACUGACUAAAAGGAUUUUCCACACCAUAUGGCACCAUGCUCAGCCUAUAAAGCCAGGGGUUUGUCUUUCCAAGUAACCAUUACAUGUGAUGGAGCCCUGCUUUCCUGGAGAUGGCUGAACACCUGCCUGCCAAUGGAAAGUGAGGAAUGAAUUCCUUGAUUUGCUUCACUUGCGUGUGCAGCUUUUGCUUAAAAUAACCUGCCUUUCUCUCAACCCACAAGUUUUCUUACUUUCAGCCUUCUGAUUCUCUCCCCCAUCCACUGCAGGGAAGUGAGUGAGGGGCUGUGCUUGCAAUGGCAACACCAUCCAAGGGCUCUGGGAAAGCUCUGUGGCUGCUUAUUGGGUUUGUUUUGCUGGAAUAGUCUUCUCUCCCAAAGCCCCUUCAUUUCAGUUCUGCAUCCAAGUUUGUAAAGCAAGACACAGUGAAGUGAUUGAGUGUCCGUGAAAUUCAGGGAAUGGGAAACAGAGACCAAAAAUAAUUAAGUCAAUUUCUUAAUAAAGGAGAAUGCUGAUUCCCCCCCCGCUUUGAUUUUUUAGAGUUCAAUGCUGAAAAGAAAAUGUUCAAAGUGCUUUAUUUAAAUUAGAAUCCCAUAACAAUCCCUUUGAAUAUAUUCAAAACAUGUUUAUAUUAACAUACUAGAAAUACACACUGUUAUGGAACAAGUUUCAAAUACUACAGCCAUGAUAGAUCAUGGAAGAAGUUAAAUAGCCUUGAUU